Molecule: long non-coding RNA, 574 nt
Filed under: Struthio camelus australis
Lineage: Eukaryota; Metazoa; Chordata; Aves; Struthioniformes; Struthionidae
Description: lncRNA (ENSSCUG00000015267.1)
Source: RNAcentral
UUUAUUUUUAAUAGCUUCAGGUUCUCUAAACUAAAAAGAAUCACUUUAACCCAUUCAUUACAGUCUAGGUGACAUGUUAUCGCCCAAGAACAAUAAAGAUAAUAUGAUCGUUGUCAGUUUUGUUUAUACAUGGAAAGAGCUCGUUGCUGUAUGUUGAUGCUGAUGUCUUUUAUGACCUAAACACUGAUUAGAAGAUAUGUUUGGUGACCGUAGGCAUUAAAAUUACUCUAGAUACUGGUUCGAUUAGCAUACUUUCAGCUUUAAUAAGAAACGGCAAGAGUAGUAGUUAAUACUUUGUAGGGUUUCCUUUUGUGCAUUCGUUGGGUUUCAAGAAGCUGGCAGAGGCUGAGGGUAAAGGAAUGGCAAUAAACUGUGCUUUUGCUUCACAGGACUGUCUUUUUCCAGAUCAGGAAGAAAGAACCACUGUGAAAAAUGGGCUACCUUUCAACAUAGCAAUGAGGAGCAGAAAAAAGAAAACAAGCUAGCAGGGGGGAUAAACACCUUCAGCAAUAAGACGUCUGACGGUGAGUGUCUAUGCAGUUAAUGAAAAAACUGUGACUUUCCUGUGGCUCAU